AACUGGGAGGGACUGGGAGGAACUGGGAGGGAACUGGGAGGGACUGGGAGGAACUGGGAGGGAACUGGUGUUACUGGUUUAACUGGUCUCACUGGUGUUACUGCUUUAACUGGUGUUACUGGUCUCACUGGUGUAACUAACUGGUGUUACUGGUCUCACCAGUGUUACUGGUUUAACUGGUGUAACUCACUGGUGUUAUUGGUGUCACUGGUGUAACUGGUGUGUCUAACUGGUUACUGGUUUAACUGGUGUAACUGGUGUGUCUCACUGGUGUAACUGGUGUAAGUGGUGUGUCUCACUGGUGUUACUGGUUUAACUGGUGUAACUCAGUGGUCUCACUGGUUUAACUGGUGUAACUCCCUGGUCUCACUGGUGUUACUGGUUUAACUGGUGUUACUGGUCUCACUGGUGUAACUGGUGUAACUCCCUGGUCUCACUGGUGUUACUGGUGUAACUGGUGUCACUGGUCUCACUGGUUACUGGUGUAACUGGUGUCACUGGUCUCACUGGUUACUGGUGUAACUGGUGUUACUGGUUUCACUGGUGUAACUCCCUGGUCUCACUGGUGUUACUGGUCUCACUGGUUACUGGUCUAACUGGUGUAACUGGUGUAACUGGUGUGUCUCACUGGUCACUGGUCUCCCCGGUGUCCCCGGGCAGGGGUCCGGCGCGCCGUGGAUCUCUGUGCAGCCCCCGGGAGCUGGAGCCAAGUGCUGAGUCGGCACCUCAGGUGGGACUGGGAGCGCUGGGAGCCCAAACUGGGAGCACUGGGAGCGCUGGGAGCACUGGGAGCCCAAACUGGGAGCGCUGGGAGCCCAAACUGGGAGCGCUGGGAGCGCUGGGAGCCCAAACUGGGGGCACUGGGAGCCCAAACUGGGAGCACUGGGAGCACUGGGAGCCCAAACUGGGAGCGCUGGGAGCCCAAACUGGGGGCACUGGGAGCACUGGGAGCCCAAACUGGGAGUGCUGGGAACCCAAACUGGGAGCACUGGGAGCCCAAACUGGGAGCACUGGGAGCACUGGGAACACUGGGAGCCCAAACUGGGGGCACUG
Molecule: long non-coding RNA, 1053 nt
Filed under: Chloebia gouldiae (Gouldian finch)
Lineage: Eukaryota; Metazoa; Chordata; Aves; Passeriformes; Passeridae
Description: Erythrura gouldiae (Gouldian finch) lncRNA (ENSEGOG00005011769.1)
Source: RNAcentral